AUGAAAGCCCUGGAGAUGGAAGGCCUCAAUUUAUCCACAGAACAGGUACAGCAAAGGCAGUAGCAGCACAAUCUUUCUACAAUAGCACUCGUCAGUGUAGAUAGAAAGACCAGCUCGAGGGAUGAGAGGGUACUUUAAUCUCCAUGCUGAUUCAAAUUCUUGGCCUCG
This 168-nucleotide small RNA is filed under the name Sphenodon punctatus (tuatara). RNAcentral describes it as "TUC338 (ENSSPUG00000006077.1)". The record is from RNAcentral. Lineage: Eukaryota; Metazoa; Chordata; Lepidosauria; Sphenodontia; Sphenodontidae.